This 365-nucleotide long non-coding RNA is filed under the name Ananas comosus (pineapple). Its description in RNAcentral is "long non-coding RNA (ACOM_LNC024880)". Lineage: Eukaryota; Viridiplantae; Streptophyta; Magnoliopsida; Poales; Bromeliaceae. The record is from RNAcentral.
UUUUUUUAAGAGAAUUUUGAUUAAUUUUUUUGAUCUAUGCGUUUUAAUUUGAAUUAAUUUAAAUCAUUAAAUUAGAGAUUUAUUAAAUUUUUAGUGUUUCUGUUAAAUUUUAUAUCUCUAACUACUACUCUAGCUAAAGAAGGUAUGGAUUUCUUUUUUGAGAGAGAUAGGUAACAUGCUACCCGCUUCGUUUAUUUCAUUUAGAAAUAAACUUUGCUGGAAAUGUGAAUUAACUAGAAUUCGAACUUGGGACCUUAAUUAUCAACCACUAAGCCCUUUGCCACUUGCGUUAGAGAUGGUCGGUAAGGUAUGGAUUUCAUUAGUGGUUAACAACUAACAGUUAAUAAAUCUACACAUCUUUUUAC